GCAUGUUAUAGUACACCUAAGCGGACUUAAAAUCCGCGGCCUGUUGGCGUGGGGGUUCGAGUCCCCCGGCGGGCA
RNAcentral lists this transfer RNA (75 nucleotides) under Rhodopila sp. RNAcentral's name for it is "tRNA-OTHER". Lineage: Bacteria; Pseudomonadati; Pseudomonadota; Alphaproteobacteria; Acetobacterales; Acetobacteraceae. The record is from RNAcentral.